This 72-nucleotide transfer RNA is filed under the name Friedmanniomyces endolithicus. RNAcentral describes it as "tRNA-Arg". It matches the Rfam family "tRNA". Rfam says of the family: Transfer RNA (tRNA) molecules are approximately 80 nucleotides in length. The record is from RNAcentral. Lineage: Eukaryota; Fungi; Ascomycota; Dothideomycetes; Mycosphaerellales; Teratosphaeriaceae.
GCCCUUCUGGCGCAAUGGUAGCGCGCCAGACUUCUAAUCUGGAGGCUGCAUGUUCGAGUCCUGCGUAGGGUA